UGCAGUCGAACGGUGAAGCAGAGCUUGCUCUGUGGAUCAGUGGCGAACGGGUGAGUAACACGUGAGUAACCUGCCCUUGACUCUGGGAUAAGCGUUGGAAACGACGUCUAAUACCGGAUACGACCCUCAACCGCAUGGUUAGGGGGUGGAAAGAUUUUUUGGUCAAGGAUGGACUCGCGGCCUAUCAGCUUGUUGGUGAGGUAAUGGCUCACCAAGGCGACGACGGGUAGCCGGCCUGAGAGGGUGACCGGCCACACUGGGACUGAGACACGGCCCAGACUCCUACGGGAGGCAGCAGUGGGGAAUAUUGCACAAUGGGCGCAAGCCUGAUGCAGCAACGCCGCGUGAGGGAUGACGGCCUUCGGGUUGUAAACCUCUUUUAGUAGGGAAGAAGCGAAAGUGACGGUACCUGCAGAAAAAGCACCGGCUAACUACGUGCCAGCAGCCGCGGUAAUACGUAGGGUGCAAGCGUUGUCCGGAAUUAUUGGGCGUAAAGAGCUCGUAGGCGGUUUGUCGCGUCUGCUGUGAAAACUGGAGGCUCAACCUCCAGCCUGCAGUGGGUACGGGCAGACUAGAGUGCGGUAGGGGAGAUUGGAAUUCCUGGUGUAGCGGUGGAAUGCGCAGAUAUCAGGAGGAACACCGAUGGCGAAGGCAGAUCUCUGGGCCGUAACUGACGCUGAGGAGCGAAAGCGUGGGGAGCGAACAGGAUUAGAUACCCUGGUAGUCCACGCCGUAAACGUUGGGAACUAGAUGUGGGGACCAUUCCACGGUCUCCGUGUCGCAGCUAACGCAUUAAGUUCCCCGCCUGGGGAGUACGGCCGCAAGGCUAAAACUCAAAGGAAUUGACGGGGGCCCGCACAAGCGGCGGAGCAUGCGGAUUAAUUCGAUGCAACGCGAAGAACCUUACCAAGGCUUGACAUAUACGAGAACGGGCCAGAAAUGGUCAACUCUUUGGACACUCGUAAACAGGUGGUGCAUGGUUGUCGUCAGCUCGUGUCGUGAGAUGUUGGGUUAAGUCCCGCAACGAGCGCAACCCUCGUUCUAUG
This 1046-nucleotide ribosomal RNA is filed under the name Curtobacterium sp. 684G54. RNAcentral describes it as "bacterial SSU rRNA". It matches the Rfam family "Bacterial small subunit ribosomal RNA", at positions 56 to 1114 of the family's 1533-position model. Lineage: Bacteria; Bacillati; Actinomycetota; Actinomycetes; Micrococcales; Microbacteriaceae. The record is from RNAcentral.